CGGGGGAGGCCGGAUCCUGGGCUGUGUCCCGGCGCCCUGUGCUCCGGGGCCUGCGCUGGUGGAUUCGCGCUCCCGGGCCGCAGCCCCCU
This 89-nucleotide microRNA precursor is filed under the name Canis lupus familiaris (dog). Its description in RNAcentral is "mir-8799 microRNA precursor family". It matches the Rfam family "mir-8799 microRNA precursor family". The record is from Rfam by way of RNAcentral. RNAcentral also lists the same sequence under 1 other name. Lineage: Eukaryota; Metazoa; Chordata; Mammalia; Carnivora; Canidae.